UGAUUAAUCAGAGGGAACAUUGAGGCAUUGAGGCAAUAUCGACUACUGCGCUUACUUUUUUCGCUGAGCUGUCAGCUGUGUUAGUCUUUUUUUUAUUAUUAUUAUUUUUUUUUUGCUGAAAUCUUGAAAGUCGUAUCUCGAAUCUGAAUUCUGAUUAUCAUAAUAUUUCACAAAUCUGAAGUAUUUUGGUUUCGCAACGUCAUACAAAUAAUUGAUCGCAUGUUCCAUCUCCAUCAUUCGUCAUUUCGUCUGCUGUGGCGUGGUUUGGUCUGAUCUGGUCUGUUAGCUUAUGGUUUCUUACAACAACAUUGGGAAGACUGAGUGAUUUACGCUGAGUUGAUAGUACUCAAUUAAUCAUUUAAAAAAUAAACAUUUGUGUGUAGGUAAUGUAGCAAGAAAGUAAAAAGUGAUAAAAUUGCAGUUUGAAUAAUAUGGUUCAGACAUGGACACAUGAAGAUCCUAAAGUUUAAAUUUAACUAGAAAGAGCUUGUGGGAUACAGGCUAAAGAUGAAAUACAAGAUUGGUGUUGACGUCCAAAGCAAUCAGCAGUAUAUAAUGUGAUUCAAAAGAACUGAUCGUAACAUCAUCCAAACCAACCAAAGUUUUAACUAGACAGCUUUAGACAAGUUCGUCUUCAUUGAAAGUCAAAUCAAGCUUCCACAAAUUGGAAAUUGCAGCUCAUAAACAUUGUGUUGACUCCACCCAAGUUGUAAAACCAGAAAACAGAAUCUCUCAUUCUCAUGCAGUGGCAAUAGUUGAAGAAAAGUUCUCCGAAGAUCUAAAUGACACAGAACUUUACACUUGUAAUUUCAAGUAUCUGUUGGACUUCGGUAACCAAGUUUGAAAAGGAUUGCAAUAGGUUUGAAUAAAGAAAAUUCAAAACGUUUGAGAAAGAGUUGGAACACGAAAAAUCCAAUGGGUCAUUACUGGAGUAGAGAUCUCAUUCAUUGGUGCCUACCGUGACUUAUUGGUCUAGCUCCACGGCGGUAAAAGAAAAUGCUGCUGAUGUAAGACGUUGAUAAUGUUGCACUCAUCCCCUGACGGCAGAAGAACAAGAGAUCCAGGUCCUCUAUUUAAUGGCAUCACGCAUCACCCCAUUGGUUUCACGUGACACGAGUCGACACAAAUUGCUGGAUUAGAUUGACGACUCGUUUUUUAAUUUAAAAAAAAUGGACGACUAUGCAAGCGGACCUCAGGCGAGAGAUUUUGAAAAAGGAAUCCCGACUGCUAAUCCAGACGAAUCUUGAUUUCAAAUUUGAUAACAUUGCUGGACCGUCAUAAGCCUUCCAUUAAUCCCUGCUGAAAGAUGAAACUUUUUUCUGGACCUACGUUAGAAGAAUCUUUGCAGAUCGAUUGCUCCUCGCCCUUCUCUAGAAUUCGCCCGAAAAAAACUGGCCGACUUUGACGAGUCUUUAUACGCUCACGUGUUCACCCAAGAAGUGGAUCGUUUAAUCUGUCAUCGCGUGAUCGGCAGGCAGUGCUAUUGCAGAAGAUAUUGCACGUGAUGUGAUCCCCGAAUUUGUUUUCAAAGAUGACGUGGAAUCGGGUAAUUCUCUGGUGGUUCCUGAGCGAAAAUCGGACGUUUGGCAGCCAUCGUCGCUUCCACCCUAAUUACAAGAACUCAUCCUUUUCGAUUUUCUUGAACUACAGGAGAAAAACUGAAGUUUGUCCGAUCCACUUAUCAUAAGCAAAGUGCGAAAUCAUUCACACUCACAUUUCCUAAUCUGAAAUUAGAAACAAAACAAAACAUUAAUCAGGUUAGUAACUUAGUACUGCAACUACCCUUUGUACUUACUUUUACCAUCGAAUUUUAACGCCACUCUCAUAUGAGCCAAUGAUAAAACCCAUAGGCAAUAGGAAGAUGCGGAGUGAAGGGCUUUCUUUCCCGUUCGGAGCAGAAUAUUUUUUGAUAAACUUCCCCUGUAUAAGAUUUGAACUUGCCCCGUUGGCAUGUGGUGGUUAUCAAUGCCACUGCUCAGUGAUCUUACAAACGAAUGCACAUUACAUGUUUGACACAUGCAUACGCUCUGUCACUGUGCCAUCAAGUCCCACCAAGUCUCACACGCAAAGGCGUAUGUAUAGGAAUACGGAAUCAUUCCAUUGCUGCUCAGCUACAGAGAGAAUAAUACCGUUUUUUUUACUAUCCUAGUUUAUCUAUCUUCAUUCCGAUUCCCUCACUACGCUUCUA
Molecule: long non-coding RNA, 2188 nt
Filed under: Daphnia pulex (common water flea)
Lineage: Eukaryota; Metazoa; Arthropoda; Branchiopoda; Diplostraca; Daphniidae
Description: uncharacterized LOC124201809, transcript variant X2
Source: RNAcentral